RNAcentral lists this ribosomal RNA (565 nucleotides) under Enterobacter hormaechei subsp. xiangfangensis. RNAcentral's name for it is "partial 23S ribosomal RNA". It matches the Rfam family "Bacterial large subunit ribosomal RNA", at positions 614 to 1179 of the family's 2925-position model. Lineage: Bacteria; Pseudomonadati; Pseudomonadota; Gammaproteobacteria; Enterobacterales; Enterobacteriaceae. The record is from RNAcentral.
AAUGGGUCAGCGACUUAUAUUCUGUAGCAAGGUUAACCGUAUAGGGGAGCCGAAGGGAAACCGAGUCUUAACUGGGCGUUAAGUUGCAGGGUAUAGACCCGAAACCCGGUGAUCUAGCCAUGGGCAGGUUGAAGGUUGGGUAACACUAACUGGAGGACCGAACCGACUAAUGUUGAAAAAUUAGCGGAUGACCUGUGGCUGGGGGUGAAAGGCCAAUCAAACCGGGAGAUAGCUGGUUCUCCCCGAAAGCUAUUUAGGUAGCGCCUCGUGAACUCAUCUUCGGGGGUAGAGCACUGUUUCGGCUAGGGGGCCAUCCCGGCUUACCAACCCGAUGCAAACUACGAAUACCGAAGAAUGUUAUCACGGGAGACACACGGCGGGUGCUAACGUCCGUCGUGAAGAGGGAAACAACCCAGACCGCCAGCUAAGGUCCCAAAGUCAUGGUUAAGUGGGAAACGAUGUGGGAAGGCACAGACAGCCAGGAUGUUGGCUUAGAAGCAGCCAUCAUUUAAAGAAAGCGUAAUAGCUCACUGGUCGAGUCGGCCUGCGCGGAAGAUGUAACGGG